Alosa sapidissima (American shad) is the source of this 2241-nucleotide long non-coding RNA. RefSeq lists it as uncharacterized. The record is from RefSeq and is a predicted model, not a curated record. NCBI's taxonomy places the organism in Eukaryota, Metazoa, Chordata, Actinopteri, Clupeiformes, Clupeidae. The transcript is spliced from 4 exons.
GUUCGUUCAAUUUACUGGUUAUCACAACACUACCAACUAUGCCAUCUUCAAUCAACUUCCAAUGAGUUCCAGGGGUAUUAAAUGCUGCCUAUCUUGCAGGUUAAACAGUGUAACAAUAACAGUAACUGCUACAGUGCAGGCGAGCUAGCUACAUCAGUUGGACAUCUUACAACAUUUCCAAGAGGAUUUACUGGUGAAAUACUCCUGCACAAUAGAACUGAGUAGAGGAGAUUUAGAUUUGGAUUCAGAAUGGACAGCCAGUACAAAGAAUCAGAAGUGUGUAUCAUACACCAUGAAACAUCAAAAGAAGGUGAUGAAAUCUUUGGUCUUAAAGACUAUGAAUCCUGGAAAACAUUGCUUGACGCAGCCAAAGUGAGAAACUAUGCCCCUAUUACAGAUGUUGCUAAAGACCUUAGAGAAGAAGAAGUCCCAAGAAUCCACUAUCACAGAAAGUGUCGGAGCCUCUUCACAAUGAAAAGAGAAUUAGAGACUCUGAAAAGGAAAGCCACAGAAAACAUUACAGAUGAAGCUUGAGAGAAUAGUUUACCAAAAAAAACAAGUAGGAGAUCUUCUGAUGGAGCAAGAGUAUAUGAUUCAAUCUGCAUUUUUUGUAAUAAAAAGAAGUUUGUAAAGGGCUCCAAGUCCAGGGAAAAACUCACACAAGCUGUAACAUUAAAUGCUGACCAAACACUAAGAGUAUGUGCCACCCAAAAAAGAGAUGAAAAGAUUCUAGCAGUAACAAGCAGAGAUGUAGUUGCUGCAGAGGCCCACUAUCAUCAUUCAUGCUAUAAGGAGUACACAAGAAUCAAGAAAAAGAAGCCUAAGAAGAACCAAGAUAACGACGCAAAAACAGAUGGUGAUGAAGACUAUAAAAGGAUUGAAAGGGAAGCCUAUAAAGAUAUCAGAACUGAUAUAAUACCCAACAAAACAGUUGUACAGGUCACGUCUUUGGUCACAAAGCUCACAUCAUUCAUGCUAUCUGGUGGAGUUACAAGCCUGCGGGAUUCAACAAAGAAGAACAUGCGAAGGACGCUUGAAAAUGAGCUGGGAAAUUCUGUCGAUAUAUUUCCAGAUGACAAAGGCAAAUUGCUGAUGGUUCCUCAAACUGUUACUAGAGGGGAUGUUGUCUUGGAAAAUCAAAAUCUGCUGAGGGAACUCAGUGUUUGGAGGGACAAGUCAACCAAUGUCAACAAGAUCAUAGAUCAGACAUCAUCACAUAUCAGAUCAAUCAUUAAACAGGAGAUGACUGUGACCCCCUGGCCAUUCCAUCCUUCUGAUGUGAAAAAUAGUGGUUAUAUCACCUUACCAGAUCAACUAGAACGGCUUCUUGUUGGACUGCUCACUGGAAAUCCUGACACCAAAACUCAAACACAGAACAUCACUGCUUUGGUUCAAUCAUUUUGUCAGGACAUAAUAUACGCUGUCACAGGUGGUCAACACCAAAACACCAAAGCUCACGUAUGCUGUAAAAACACUGACGGGUAAUACUGAGCUCAUACAAACACUGAACAAGCUGGGGCAUGGGGUGUCUUACUCCCAGCUUGAAGAGAACAACACUGCUCUUUGUCUCCAAAAACUAGCAACAGCCUCUAACCAAAGAGUUGUACUUCCAGCCUCCAUCAAGCCUCAUGUCUUUACCAAUCUUGCAUGGGAUUAUAUUGAUAGACUUGAAGAAACCCUCACUGGAAAGUGUACAUCACACAGAGUUAAUGGCAUAGUGGUACAGGCCAAUAUCUAUGGACCACAUCUGUCAAGAACUGAUCUUCCACACAUUGAGAAACAGAAGCAGAGAUCAGUCACCAUUGAAUACCAAGGCCUGGAAGUAUAUGUAGCAGGUGCAUGUGUGGGCCCACAACCUCUUCCAACCAGGGGACACUAUAUCCAGGAAACCAAGGAGGCUGCUCUUCUUGCAAGAAAGAAGACAAUGGUGUGGGCACUUGCAAGGCAAACAGAUCCAGAGAAUCAGACAAUCCCCAGCUGGACUGGUUUUAAUAUCAGCACCAGGGACCAGGAACCAAUCUCACAAGAUAUUGUUGGGUAUCUGCCAACCAUCAACUCACCAGCCACAGAGUUGAACACUGUGUUUGAAAUCCUGAAACAAUCAGAGCUAAUGAGGAAGGAGCUGCACCUAGAGACAAUAGUUGUAGUCAUGGAUCAAGUGCUCUAUGCAAAAGCAGCUGAGAUAAUCUGGAAGCACAGAGAAUGGCUCCCCAACAUUCUUCUCUGGGCAGCCGUGGCCCA